RNAcentral lists this ribosomal RNA (440 nucleotides) under uncultured bacterium. RNAcentral describes it as "partial 16S ribosomal RNA". It matches the Rfam family "Bacterial small subunit ribosomal RNA", at positions 338 to 795 of the family's 1533-position model. The record is from RNAcentral.
CCUACGGGAGACAGCAGUAGGGAAUAUUGCUCAAUGGGGGAAACCCUGCAGCAGCAACGCCGCGUGGAGGAUGAAGGUUUUCGGAUUGUAAACUCCUUUUGUUAGAGAAGAUAAUGACGGUAUCUAACGAAUAAGCACCGGCUAACUCCGUGCCAGCAGCCGCGGUAAUACGGAGGGUGCAAGCGUUACUCGGAAUCACUGGGCGUAAAGGGCGCGUAGGCGGGAUAGCAAGUCAGAUGUGAAAUCCUAUGGCUUAACCAUAGAACUGCAUUUGAAACUGUUAUUCUAGAGUAUGGGAGAGGUAGGUGGAAUUCUUGGUGUAGGGGUAAAAUCCGUAGAGAUCAAGAGGAAUACUCAUUGCGAAGGCGACCUGCUAGAACAUAACUGACGCUGAUGCGCGAAAGCGUGGGGAGCAAACAGGAUUAGAUACCCCUGUAGUC